This 253-nucleotide ribosomal RNA is filed under the name uncultured bacterium. RNAcentral describes it as "partial 16S ribosomal RNA". It matches the Rfam family "Bacterial small subunit ribosomal RNA", at positions 524 to 776 of the family's 1533-position model. The record is from RNAcentral.
UACGGAGGGAGCUAGCGUUGUUCGGAAUUACUGGGCGUAAAGGGCGCGCAGGCGGCCUUAGAAGUCAGAUGUGAAAGCCCCGGGCUCAACCUGGGAGUGGCAUUUGAUACUCUGAGGCUGGAGUACGGGAGAGGAGAGUGGAAUUCCCAGUGUAGAGGUGAAAUUCGUAGAUAUUGGGAAGAACACCGGUGGCGAAGGCGGCUCUCUGGACCGUAACUGACGCUGAGGCGCGAAAGCGUGGGGAGCAAACAGG